This 558-nucleotide long non-coding RNA is filed under the name Lathyrus oleraceus (garden pea). Its description in RNAcentral is "Pisum sativum (pea) long non-coding RNA (PSAT_LNC035438)". Lineage: Eukaryota; Viridiplantae; Streptophyta; Magnoliopsida; Fabales; Fabaceae. The record is from RNAcentral.
AUAACUUGAUAUAACUUCACGGACAUGAUGUCAGACUUUUAUAUUAUAAAAGUUCAAUUUAAAUUGAACUCCAAAACUUUUUGAAGUACUAGAGAAAACAAGAAUUAUAGUUACUCACUAGGUCCCAGCAAUUCUAGUGCUAAUGUGAGUAUUUUCCUCCUCAUCAAGCUUGGCCAAACCAAAAUCAGAUAUCUUUGGGUCAAGAUUGGUAUCAAGCAAUACAUUAGUGGCCUUGAUGUCCCUGUGAACAACCUUCAGUCUUGAUUCUUCAUGGAGGUAUGAGGGUCAAGAUUGGUAUCAAGCAAUACAUUAGUGGCCUUGAUGUCCCUGUGAACAACCUUCAGUCUUGAUUCUUCAUGGAGGUAUGCCAAACCUCUAGCAAUACCAACACAAAUCUUCUGCCUUGUUGACCAAUCUAAUUUAAUUUGGUGUUCCUCUGGCCCUUUAUUUGUACAUGUAAUAAAAAUCAGACAACGUUACCAGAUAGUCAUGUGCUAAGUUAGAAAAUGUGGACUAUCAAAUAAGUAGAAACCUGAAGAAGACCAUAUAGGAAAAAUU